This 64-nucleotide transfer RNA is filed under the name Cotylurus marcogliesei. RNAcentral's name for it is "tRNA-Ala". Lineage: Eukaryota; Metazoa; Platyhelminthes; Trematoda; Diplostomida; Strigeidae. The record is from RNAcentral.
GACGAUAUAUUUUAAUUAAAAUAUAUACUCUGCGAGUAUAGGAUAGAGAAUUCUCUUAUCGUUG